GGAGGAUCAGAUCUGAGCGCGACCUCUGUCACUGUAAGGAGGAUCAGAUCUGAAAAAUUUAUCUGAGACUUUGGGUAUGAUUAUGCAUGAAGACUCACGCUUGAUCAGGUUCUCAGAUGGGAUAGUUUCACUGCUUGAGUCUGAAAUUGAUAUUAAUCUCAGGAACUAUCAAAAGCAAAGCAAAGCUCUGUCCCAAGCUCUUAACCAAUUCUCAGGUAAUCAAUAUUUCCAAAACCUUUUCUUUUUCUCUCAAUUCCCUAUAACCUAAAUUCUACAACUCUGAAUCGAUGUACUGAUUUAUGAUGAUGUAAUAUGGAUGAAAUUAUGAAGCUUGGUGACUAAAGUUUGAUCUUUUUGGUGAAUAAAUUGGUUCAUAUGAUUUUUUGUUCAGAUCUGAAAUUUUUUGGAAUUACUUUGUUCAGAAAGCAUUGAUGAUUGCUGGUUCAAGAGUAUGCGUCUAUUAUUUUUUUUACAUAUUAGAUUUGAACUGGUGUUUAACCUGCGAUUAGUUAUCAUCUGAUGAUUUCCUUUUCUGCUUGUAUGAUCAGUUUUCGGUUCCAAUCAUGUUAAUAGUUGUACACAUGAUUAUUGUUCAAUAGAGACUUGAGUUAUUUAUAA
Long non-coding RNA from Rosa chinensis, 618 nucleotides. RefSeq lists it as uncharacterized. NCBI's taxonomy places the organism in Eukaryota, Viridiplantae, Streptophyta, Magnoliopsida, Rosales, Rosaceae. The record is from RefSeq and is a predicted model, not a curated record. The transcript is spliced from 2 exons.